UGCACUGCCAUAGCAACAUUUUAAUACAAACACAGGGCAAUCUUUGUUCACUGAAGUACACAGCUCUUUUUUUUCUUUCUCUUAUUAACAGAACCUGCAUCUGCAUACAGUUUAACUGAAUGUCAUAGCAACAACAUAAACACAAAUCCAAGAUAUUUUUUCCUUUAGAGGGAGGAAGAAUAAAUGUUUUCAGGAAAAGAGCGUGGGACUUCAGAAAGCAGAAUGAAAUGUUUGUGACCAAACAUGGCCUGAAGUUACAUCAUCACAGCUGUAUAUUUACUCUUUGAAAGCUUGCUCUUGCAAGGUGUUAUUCAUUCUCAGCUCCUACAGAUGUCAACAGAGAACAGCCGUAUCUGGCAGGGCGAGGUCUGAAUCACAGCUCUGCUUAGAGACAGCACGCCGGUGGGAUGCGCCAUCACUGCUAUAGUGAACUUGGAGAUUUAUGCAUUUUUUAGACUUUACUCCUAAUGCAAAACUGGAGUAACACAAAUGGGCCUGGCCUGCCUCUAAGACCUAGCACCAACCACACAUUUUGCCGCAUGACCCUCUUUUCCUCUAUGGACCUACAAUUCCUAAUGCAAAGAUAAACUACAGGAAAACCUGGAACUCAGAUGUGUUCAUUUGAAACUUGGCUGUUGCCCUGACAGGGGCUGUAACACUGUUUAUCCACGACAACUCAAGAACUUAUGCCUCAUGCACCCAGGAAGUAGUACAGGAAAGGGAAAGACCCAAGUUCUCUCAGACGGCUGACUCAACCCCACCUCUCAGCUAUUACUAUGUGCUUAGCUAUGCUCUAUUUUUGUCCUCCAGGGCUUGUGAAAGGGAUGACUUCAUUAAGCUUUUAAUUUUUCUAAGUAGCGUGUUCAUUCAGGACAAGAGCCUUUACUCUUUGCUUUGUAAGCUGAUGGUCCUUCAGCUCAAGCAUGCUGUGAGUGUUCAGGGCUUGAAACCUGCAAAAUCUAACCAUUAAAAGAAAUGCUGUAACAACGCUACACACAAAUAGCUUGUUCCUUCUGUGACUAGUGGUUUACAGAGGAAAAUAAAUGAGUAAGUGUAGUAGGCAUACAAUCGAGCACUCAACACAAGCUGGUGUUGAAUGAUGAAGAUUAAAACAACAUCAGACAGUUUUCAUUCACAAACAUCAUCUGCCCUGAAUCAAGGCAGAGUCCUGUAGGGAUCCUUGUACAAUAUGACUACAAUAGCAUGUCUUCAAGAUGGACAGAACCGAGCCUUCCACACAGCCUCAGCUCCAUGUUUUAAAUUUUAAGUGCUUGACCAGAAAUUUUCAAAUACAGCUUUUAAAGAUGUGUUUUCUCUCUUCAGUUUAUUACAAGAUGCCCAUUCUGGGUUUAAGUCACUCGGAAAGGAAUUAAAAUCUUCCCCUAAUUGCCUGUGAAAGUGUUACAAACCAUCUGCCUAGCCAAAGGGUGCAUAAACUUUGAUUAAAUCAGUAACCUUAUUAUUAUGAAGAAUUACGACUGUUGCAGGACCUGCACUGGUCACUUGUCAUAAGUAAGGCUGUGCUUUUAGCCAGACACCAUCAUUUUGAUUCAUUUUUAUAAACAAAGACUGAAAAAGUUUAGUAAAACCAAAGAAAAAUAUUUGAAUUUCAUCUUGGCCUGCAUUUGAUGAAUCUCCACAGUUCGAACUAGUGUAACUGUUAUCAAAACUAAAUAAAAAUACAUAAACAGUAACCUGGGACUGAAUGGCAAAUGCUGCCAAGGCCUUUUACUCUCAAUCUGACUGAACUCUUGAAGAUGAUUACUAGCUUUGUUUGGGAAAUUUCAUUUCUAGUAACCAUCAUGGGAAUGCUCCUUAAUAAUUUUUAAAGCCUUCUUUAAGGUAGGAAAAGAUUUAAAUCUGGAGGAGUGAUUUAAUGGCAUCUUCAUUUAAAAACAAAUUACAGUUGUAUUUGACACACGAGGAAGCUUAAACUAGAUUUAUAUAAGAAAAGAAAAAAAACCCCACAGGCAAACCAUUUCAUGCAAUUAAUGAAAGCCUCCAUGAGCAUAGGAAAGCAAUGCAAAUUACAACUCUGCCUUCCUCAGCCAAAGACUAAUCACACACACAUGCAGAUCAACACUAAUAUUUGCAGCACUCUCAUUUCCAGUGUGUGCUACGAAUCUUAACAGAAAUGCCACGCUAUUACUCUGGAUGAAACAUUUUCUGGCAAGUGAACUGUGGCAGUUUUGCUGUUCUGCUCUUUUAUCAGUGUUGUUAUGAACGAGUUCAAGACUGGUUUAAAGUAAUUUGUGGCUACCAAGUCAAUGUGUAGUCAUCACUGAUUAGGAAAAGUUUAUUCACUUUCACUGGACCGAGAAAGAUUUGAAGGAAGCACGCAUAGCUAGGAAUCUUGGUCCUUUAAAAAGGGUUAAAAAACCAAACGUUGAAACAAGAGGUGGGCAGAGGACCAACGAUGACUAAAAAAUACAACAGAGCACAGGUGGUUACUGCCACGCAAGAAGAAAAACCUCUCUGUUUUUCCAGGGGCUGCAAAACACACAAGGGCAAGGACACGCAGUACCACUGUAAGAAACAGCAUUAUGUGACUACAGCGGUCUGACACGCUUGCCAAACUUCAGUAGCUAUGUCAUGGCAAGCAGUUUUUUAAUGACAAUUUGUGAAGGUGUGAAAAACUCCCAAACUUCUAAGACUUUGACCAUCUCAAAAAUCCCCUCCACACAGCAUGACUGGUAAGGAACCAACAGCUCGAUGGCCUGAAGUCAAGACUGAGAGUCUGGAAGCCCAAGCCCUCUCACCUAUUGCUGCCACAGCCUCCUGUUACCUAAACAAGUUACUCACUCUUACUCACAUUUGUAGGCACAGAACUCUGCCUGGCCUGCCCUGCUCCUCCCAGUUAAGUUCCUGCACUGCUUUCUGUUGUCUUUCUACCUGCAAGGUCAGUGCUGGCAGGAAGUACACUUAUGAUUGAAAAACCACCUCCAUGGCAGUUUAGUGUGCAUCCCAUGCCACUGACUUCUGUCACAGAGGUGCCAGUCUCAAGCAGAAGACAAACAGACCAGGGAACAACAAUGGCAGCAACAACCUCACACAGCUGUUCACAAAGUGAUUCAUGUCCUGAAGACAUCACAAAUGCUGACUUAGCCAGCCCCUUGCAAACUAUUCCCAAAGGGCCAACCUGUCUCACACCGCUCGCAGCACACACUGUCCUCGUCCUCCAGCAGACCCC
Molecule: long non-coding RNA, 3190 nt
Filed under: Strigops habroptila (Kakapo)
Lineage: Eukaryota; Metazoa; Chordata; Aves; Psittaciformes; Psittacidae
Description: lncRNA (ENSSHBG00005013973.1)
Source: RNAcentral